Molecule: unclassified non-coding RNA, 364 nt
Filed under: Hevea brasiliensis (rubber tree)
Lineage: Eukaryota; Viridiplantae; Streptophyta; Magnoliopsida; Malpighiales; Euphorbiaceae
Source: RNAcentral
ACCAUCUGAAGCAUUCUCGUCCACCAAAGAAUUAGUAGUUUCAUCCACCGGAUUGGAUGAAGUUUCAACAUUUAAUGUUGAUUUAGAGUCUGCAGGAACUGGAAUCCACUUUAACCAUUCAUCACGUUUUCGCACCUUCUCACCCUGAACUUCGACACUUGCAGAUGAGAGCAGAGAAUCAAGGAUAAAUGAAAUGUCAGUGCUCAUUUUCUUAACCCUUUUGAAUUCAGCAAUGGCUGAUAUUGGAACCCAUCCAUGGUCAUCCAUCAAAGAUAUUAGGUAAUGGUCAUUCUUCAGAUUUUCAUCGCUAAAAUAAUACUCAAUUUGCUUUAUUAUGUUGGCCCGAAGUGCUAGCAUAUCUGGG